Molecule: long non-coding RNA, 2137 nt
Organism: Oreochromis niloticus (Nile tilapia)
Lineage: Eukaryota; Metazoa; Chordata; Actinopteri; Cichliformes; Cichlidae
Source: Ensembl
AUGCUCUUGUUACUUGCUUCUUUGCUUACCUUGUUUUCCUGUGCCACAGUGCCCCUGGACCUUCCUCGACACUUACCUUCAACCCAGCUCUUCUCAGACUACCUCUACAUUCUGGAAAAUACGGAGAACCUCAUCUGCCUGCUCUCCAGCUAUCUCUCACCACCCCGGAUGCAGUGGAACUCGGGUCAGCCAGUCUUUGUGAUUACUCACACCGCCUCUCCCUCAAAGCCAAGCUCACCCCGGCUACCAAUGUACCCGCUCCAUUCCAGUCGCACCUGUCAAUUCCCAUUUUACCCUCACUGACCCAUGGCCACGUCACUACGCUGUCCACUCCCAGCUCUAGUAACACUUUGCUACGAAUAAAUUUGUUUUCUUAAUAAAACACUGUAAAACGUGCUCUUGGCCUGUGCGUUUGAGUCCAGUUUUGCUAUUGGCCUGUGGCUGUUGUGACACCAGGAUCCCGCCCAAGUAAAUCAAGUAAAGCAGCGUGUCCUGUGUAUACACACAUAAACUUUAUUAAAAGAGAUGACACUGGUGUUUCCAUCAUGUACUAACUGUUAGGUUUAACUGUACAAGGCUUGUUAGAAACUAUGAAACACGUACAGACUUCGUGAUGUUCAAUUAAUAUUUUCAUUGUGAAUAAUAACCAAGAGGCUAAACAGGCAGCCCAGCUACUGCCUUAGAGCCCUGUAAACCAUGGAGCGAGGUCGGCAUAUCCAGGAUAUCUUCCCGUUACCUGGAAUCAAUAACCCUAACGCUGGGGCCAGGAUAAACGGUCACACAAAGCUGGUUGUCAGCUUUGUUAACCCAAAACUUCCCAGCGUGUGGAUGUAAAAGUGUUGGCAGCAUCAAACUAAUCUUUGGGUGAACUACGAAUCUAAUUUAACAGAAAAAGAUCCUUAUGUAGCCAGGUGGAAGGUCGGUAUUAUUGGACAUGCCACUGGAUAGCGCUGUUUCUUUUGGGGUACCUCUGAGAGCGCAAGGGAUGAUGGGGAUCUACAGGGACAUUCACGGAAGUGCUAGCAUUGGUGUAAUGUGGGUGUGCAAUGCCAUUUUUCGCUGCGUGGUCUGUUUUAAACGCAAAGUGUGGAACAGUUAAGGCACCAGGAGUUGCUGCAACUGACUUAGGAGGAGGAGAAGCCACUACAGUUAUUUUUGCACUGCUAAGUUUGUUUUGUUUCAGGAUGGGUUUAUAUCAGUCACAAAUUGACGCUAGACAUCCUUGAGUUCCAGACACUGAUAAAGUUGCGAAAAUAACCUGCAGUAGCAGUGGGUUACCAGUGCACAAAGCUAUUACUGGAUAAGAAGUGUCUGUAACAAUUUUAUUUCCUUAUUUUUACAACCUUUUUAUUUUCUUCUGAGCACUUACUUUAUCAUUCAGAUUAAAAGAACCCCAAAGAGAAUCUGUGUUCUGGGCUGGUUAUUUUAGCCAGGCUACACUUAUUACUGCAAACUAUCAGAGAUACAUGGAAAUCUACAAUAUAAACAUAUGCCAGUGAAACACAACACUUUUGUAAAAGAGAUCAAUGCUUCAGUUUAUCGCAGAUCAAAGUGAAUGAACGUGAUUGGUUGAUCAGGUGUUCUUACUGUGUGUUCUGUGUUAUCUGCAUUUCCAUCAGUGUAAAAGAGACUCAGCAGCAGAUUAGAAUCAGGUAUAAUAAUAUUUAUACAUUUAAUAAAUCACCAAACCACCUGAAGGGAGUUCUAGCUCCGACCCCACAACAUUACUGGCCUUGCGGAUGAGUUUAUUGAGUCUGUUGGCAUCUGCGACCUUCAACCUGUUGCCCCAGCAUGCAACAACAUAGAGGAUGACAGUGGCCACAAGACACUUGUAAAAAAUCCAGAGCACUGUCAGAAAGAUGUUGAAAGACCUCAGCCAUCUCAGAAAAUAGAGAUGACUCUGGCCCUUCCGGUAGAGUACAGUGGUGUUCUUACCCAGUCCAGUUUAUUGUCUAUGUGUACUCCAAGGUAUUUAUAGUUCUCCACAAUGUCCACAUCAGCCUUCUGGAUUGAAACAGGGGUCAACCGUUUCCAGGUCCUCCUUCACACAUAUCCGCCCAUUAUAUAAACACUUAAAACAUGCUGUAAAUAAAAGACUGAGUGCAAACGUGGUGCUUCCAGUUGAUUUAGAAUCGAA